This 491-nucleotide ribosomal RNA is filed under the name Triticum aestivum (bread wheat). Its description in RNAcentral is "partial small subunit ribosomal RNA". The record is from RNAcentral. Lineage: Eukaryota; Viridiplantae; Streptophyta; Magnoliopsida; Poales; Poaceae.
UAAUUUUCUCUUUAUGUAGGAUCAGAAUAUAUCAGCGAUGUAUAAUCGUGACAAUUUGAAGUCCAUAGACGCACAUCCAACAGAGCCAUGGAUUUUAACAGGUCAUAUAAGUGGAUAUGCUCGCGUAUGGGACUAUGAGAUGACGUACCCGACGAAUUUUUUUGAAGUGUCCGACAAUGCAGUAAUGGUCGUCAAAUUUAUUGCAAGAAAGGAAUGUAUUGUAGCUUUGACAUCUGAUGGUAACCUUCAUGUGUAUGACUGUCCGUGUGUCACAAAAAUUGAAAAGACUACACAUGUUAAACCUGUUAGUGGCUGUUCGGUACUAGCUGUUCAUCCAACUUUACCAUCAGUGUUGUCAGCGUCCAAUACUGGCCUAAUAGUUUUAGACUGGGACCAGGCCUGGGAGCAGACACAAGAAUUUCAGACUUAUAAUAACCCAGGGUCAGUGGCAUUUAACCCUGGGGACGACAAAUGUUUCACGGGUGGGUUUC